This 481-nucleotide ribosomal RNA is filed under the name uncultured bacterium. RNAcentral describes it as "partial 16S ribosomal RNA". It matches the Rfam family "Bacterial small subunit ribosomal RNA", at positions 28 to 507 of the family's 1533-position model. The record is from RNAcentral.
GAUGAACGCUGGCGGCGUGCUUAACACAUGCAAGUCGAACGAAGCACUUUAUUUGAUUUCCUUCGGGACUGAUUAUUUUGUGACUGAGUGGCGGACGGGUGAGUAACGCGUGGGUAACCUGCCUUGUACAGGGGGAUAACAGUUGGAAACGGCUGCUAAUACCGCAUAAGCGCACAGCAUCGCAUGAUGCAGUGUGAAAAACUCCGGUGGUAUAAGAUGGACCCGCGUUGGAUUAGCUAGUUGGUGAGGUAACGGCCCACCAAGGCGACGAUCCAUAGCCGACCUGAGAGGGUGACCGGCCACAUUGGGACUGAGACACGGCCCAAACUCCUACGGGAGGCAGCAGUGGGGAAUAUUGCACAAUGGGCGAAAGCCUGAUGCAGCGACGCCGCGUGGGCGAAGAAGUAUUUCGGUAUGUAAAGCUCUAUCAGCAGGGAAGAUAAUGACGGUACCUGACUAAGAAGCACCGGCUAAAUACGUG